AGUGAACGCUGGCGGUAGGCCUAACACAUGCAAGUCGAACGGCAGCACAGUAAGAGCUUGCUCUUACGGGUGGCGAGUGGCGGACGGGUGAGGAAUACAUCGGAAUCUACUUUUUCGUGGGGGAUAACGUAGGGAAACUUACGCUAAUACCGCAUACGACCUACGGGUGAAAGCAGGGGAUCUUCGCACCUUGCGCGAUUGAAUGAGCCGAUGUCGGAUUAGCUAGUUGGCGGGGUAAAGGCACACCAAGGCGACGACCCGUAGCUGGUCUGAGAGGGUGAACCGCCACACUGGAACUGAGACACGGUCCACACUCCUGCGGUAGGCAGCAGUGGGGAAUCUUGGACGAUGGGCGCAAGCCUGAUCCAGCCAUACCGCGUGGGUGAAGAAGGCGUUCGGGUUGUAAAGCCCUUUUGUUGGGGAAGAAAAGCAGCAGGUUCAGACCCCGCUGUUCUGACGGUACCCAAAGAAUAAGCACCGGCUAACUUCGUG
RNAcentral lists this ribosomal RNA (492 nucleotides) under uncultured bacterium. RNAcentral's name for it is "partial 16S ribosomal RNA". It matches the Rfam family "Bacterial small subunit ribosomal RNA", at positions 29 to 507 of the family's 1533-position model. The record is from RNAcentral.